This 870-nucleotide ribosomal RNA is filed under the name Hymenochaete resupinata. Its description in RNAcentral is "eukaryotic LSU rRNA". It matches the Rfam family "Eukaryotic large subunit ribosomal RNA", at positions 65 to 915 of the family's 3401-position model. The record is from RNAcentral. Lineage: Eukaryota; Fungi; Basidiomycota; Agaricomycetes; Hymenochaetales; Hymenochaetaceae.
CUAACAAGGAUUCCCUUAGUAACUGCGAGUGAACUGGGAAGAGCUCAAAUUUAAAAUCUGGCAGUUUUACUGUCCGAGUUGUAAUCUGGAGAAGCGUUUUCCGCGUCGGACCGUGUACAAGUCUCUUGGAAUAGAGCGUCAUAGAGGGUGAGAAUCCCGUCCAUGACACGGACUUCCGAUGCUUUGUGAUACGCUCUCAAAGAGUCGAGUUGUUUGGGAAUGCAGCUCAAAAUGGGUGGUAAAUUCCAUCUAAAGCUAAAUAUUGGCGAGAGACCGAUAGCGAACAAGUACCGUGAGGGAAAGAUGAAAAGCACUUUGGAAAGAGAGUUAAACAGUACGUGAAAUUGUUGAAAGGGAAACGCUUGAAGUCAGUCGCGUCGUACGGAGCUCAGCCUUGCUUCUGCUUGGUGUAUUCUCCGUGUCGACGGGUCAACAUCAAUUUUGACCGGUGGAAAAGGGCCUAGGGAACGUAGCGUUGUUUCGGCGACGUGUUAUAGCCUUGGGUCGUAUGCAUCGGUUGGGAUUGAGGACCGCAGCACGCCCUUGUGGCCGGGGGUUCGCCCUACGUUCGUGCUUAGGAUGUUGGCAUAAUGGCUUUAAGCGACCCGUCUUGAAACACGGACCAAGGAGUCUAACAUGCCUGCAAGUGUUCGGGUGGAAAACCCUUGCGCGUAAUGAAAGUGAAAGUUGGGAUCCUUCGUAAGGGGGUGCACCGACGCCCGGCCCUGACGUUCUCUGACGGUGCUGCGGUAGAGCAUGUAUGUUGGGACCCGAAAGAUGGUGAACUAUGCCUGAAUAGGGUGAAGCCAGAGGAAACUCUGGUGGAGGCUCGUAGCGAUUCUGACGUGCAAAUCGAUCGUCAAAUUUGGG